Molecule: ribosomal RNA, 97 nt
Filed under: uncultured bacterium
Lineage: Bacteria
Description: partial 16S ribosomal RNA
Rfam family: Bacterial small subunit ribosomal RNA
Source: RNAcentral
CACCGCCCGUCACACCAUGGGAGUCAGUUGCUCCAGAAGUGGCUGAGCCAACCCGCAAGGGAGGCAGGUCCCUAAGGAGUGGCUGGUAACUGGGGUG